RNAcentral lists this ribosomal RNA (582 nucleotides) under uncultured bacterium. Its description in RNAcentral is "partial 16S ribosomal RNA". It matches the Rfam family "Bacterial small subunit ribosomal RNA", at positions 355 to 935 of the family's 1533-position model. The record is from RNAcentral.
UGGGGAAUUUUGGACAAUGGGCGAAAGCCUGAUCCAGCAAUGCCGCGUGUGUGAAGAAGGCCUUCGGGUUGUAAAGCACUUUUGUCCGGAAAGAAAUCCUUGGCUCUAAUACAGUCGGGGGAUGACGGUACCGGAAGAAUAAGCACCGGCUAACUACGUGCCAGCAGCCGCGGUAAUACGUAGGGUGCAAGCGUUAAUCGGAAUUACUGGGCGUAAAGCGUGCGCAGGCGGUUUGCCAAGACCGAUGUGAAAUCCCCGGGCUCAACCUGGGAACUGCAUUGGUGACUGGCAGGCUAGAGUAUGGCAGAGGGGGGUAGAAUUCCACGUGUAGCAGUGAAAUGCGUAGAGAUGUGGAGGAAUACCGAUGGCGAAGGCAGCCCCCUGGGCCAAUACUGACGCUCAUGCACGAAAGCGUGGGGAGCAAACAGGAUUAGAUACCCUGGUAGUCCACGCCCUAAACGAUGUCAACUAGUUGUUGGGGAUUCAUUUCCUUAGUAACGUAGCUAACGCGUGAAGUUGACCGCCUGGGGAGUACGGUCGCAAGAUUAAAACUCAAAUGAAUUGACGGGGUCAUAGCUGUUU